GUCGAGAAGCGGGGGUGCCGGUCCGUGCCGGCUGAGAGAGUCCCUUCGAACCUGAUCCGGUUAGCACCGGUGUAGGGAGCUUCGCCGAGCGGCCU
RNAcentral lists this non-coding RNA (95 nucleotides) under Dokdonella koreensis. RNAcentral describes it as "TPP sequence". It matches the Rfam family "TPP riboswitch aptamer (THI element)". Rfam says of the family: Vitamin B(1) in its active form thiamin pyrophosphate (TPP) is an essential coenzyme that is synthesised by coupling of pyrimidine and thiazole moieties in bacteria. The previously detected thiamin-regulatory element, thi box was extended, resulting in a new, highly conserved RNA secondary structure, the THI element, which is widely distributed in eubacteria and also occurs in some archaea. RNAcentral also lists the same sequence under 1 other name. Lineage: Bacteria; Pseudomonadati; Pseudomonadota; Gammaproteobacteria; Lysobacterales; Rhodanobacteraceae. The record is from RNAcentral.